This 1025-nucleotide ribosomal RNA is filed under the name human gut metagenome. RNAcentral describes it as "bacterial LSU rRNA". It matches the Rfam family "Bacterial large subunit ribosomal RNA", at positions 1901 to 2925 of the family's 2925-position model. The record is from RNAcentral.
GAAGCGGUGAAUUCAAGCCCCGGUAAACGGCGGUGGUAACUAUAACCAUCCUAAGGUAGCGAAAUUCCUUGUCGGGUAAGUUCCGACCUGCACGAAUGGCGUAACGACUUCCCCACUGUCUCGACCAGGAGCUCGGCGAAAUUGCAGUACGAGUAAAGAUGCUCGUUAAGCGCAGAAGGACGAAAAGACCCCGGGACCUUUACUAUACCUUGGUAUUGGCAUUCGGUGUGGAUUGUGUAGCAUAGGCGGGAGGCCGAGAGGCGCGGUCGCCAGAUCGCGCGGAGCCGUAAGGUGAAAUACCGCUCUGUUCGCAUUGGAUGUCUAACCUCGAACAGUCAUCCUGUUCAGGGACAGUGCCUGGCGGGUAGUUUAACUGGGGCGGUUGCCUCCCAAAGAGUAACGGAGGCGCCCAAAGGUCCGCUCAGCCCGGUUGGCAAUCGGGUGGCGAGUGCAAGUGCACAAGCGGGCUUGACUGCGAGGACGACGGUCCGAGCAGGGACGAAAGUCGGGCUUAGUGAUCCGGUGGUGCCGAGUGGAAGGGCCAUCGCUCAACGGAUAAAAGCUACCCUGGGGAUAACAGGCUAAUCUCUCCCAAGAGUCCAUAUCGACGGGGAGGUUUGGCACCUCGAUGUCGGCUCAUCACAUCCUGGGGCUGAAGUCGGUCCCAAGGGUUGGGCUGUUCGCCCAUUAAAGUGGUACGUGAGCUGGGUUCAGAACGUCGUGAGACAGUUCGGUCCCUAUCCAUCGCGGGCGCAAGAGAUUUGAAGGGGGCUGCUCCUAGUACGAGAGGACCGGAGUGGACGAACCGCUGGUGUACCAAUUAUCCUGCCAAGGGUACAGUUGGGUAGCUACGUUCGGGACGGAUAAACGCUGAAAGCAUCUAAGCGUGAAACCAGCCUUGAGAUGAGGUUUCUCAUAGCAUAAGCUAGUAAGAUCCCAUGUAGACGACAUGGUUGAUAGGCCAGGUGUGGAAGAGCCGUGAGGUUUGGAGCUGACUGGUACUAAUAGAUCGAGGGCUUUACUUA